RNAcentral lists this ribosomal RNA (253 nucleotides) under uncultured bacterium. Its description in RNAcentral is "partial 16S ribosomal RNA". It matches the Rfam family "Bacterial small subunit ribosomal RNA", at positions 524 to 776 of the family's 1533-position model. The record is from RNAcentral.
UACGAGGGGGGCGAGCGUUGUUCGGAAUUAUUGGGCGUAAAGGGCGCGUAGGCGGUGCGGUAAGUCACCUGUGAAACCUCUGGGCUUAACUCAGAGCCUGCAGGCGAAACUGCCGUGCUGGAGUGUGGGAGAGGUGCGUGGAAUUCCCGGUGUAGCGGUGAAAUGCGUAGAUAUCAGGAGGAACACCGGUGGCGAAGGCGGUUCUCUGGGCAUUACCUGACGCUGAGGAGCGAAAGUGUGGGGAGCGAACAGG